Non-coding RNA from Nicotiana tabacum (common tobacco), 1534 nucleotides. Lineage: Eukaryota; Viridiplantae; Streptophyta; Magnoliopsida; Solanales; Solanaceae. The record is from RefSeq and is a predicted model, not a curated record.
UUAAUCAUAAAAGUAACUAACAAUAAUGAUUGAUGAUUAUCUUUGCUUUGUACUAUUGCAGGCCCCUCCGCGCCAAAAAGAAAAAGAGGUCGUACUCAAAUGCCAAGAGUACAUGGAAGAAAGGAGCGUAAAAGAAUCACUCUAAAUGAGUAUAAUCAACCCAUUGGUCCUAUUGACGAAGUUGUAAAAGAGUUGGGUAGCUUCCUCGGCACAUUGGCAAGGAGUGAAACUUUUUGUCCUCUUAAUGUAUUUAAUUGGAGGAAACUAGACACAAAAGAUGAUAUGUGAAAAUAUAUCAAGGUGUGAAGUUCCCAAUGUUUAAUAAACGUGGAUGAUAUUUCCUUUUUUUUUAAUACUAACCCAAUUGCACUAAAUUUGUAGGAAAAAUAUGACAUUCCUGACGAGACGAAAACAUGGAUUUUUGAAUCAAUUAGUACUGCUUGGAGAAAGUAUAAGAAUCAGUUGAAGAAAAAACACUUUCAAGCCUAUGAGAAUGACGAGCUUCGAAUGGAGAAUAGGCCAGUAGAUGUUCCGGAAUCUCACUUUAAGGAUCUUUUUAAAUAUUGGAACUCCGAUCCUCACAAGAUUCGCUCCACUCAGUGUUCUUAUUUUGCAGUACUAGGAUGUUUAAGGGCCUGGGUCAGACUGUUCCGGAAAAAUGUCCGAAACCAAUACAGAGAAUCAAAAUAAGUUGAAGUGCCCGCACACUGCUGGCAGACCAAGUUUUGCUCUAAUCCGCGAGGAAUAAAAGAAGGAAAUUUCUGAUACUUCGGACACUCUAUCAAGUAAGGACAUCUUUGUGGCUACAAGAAAAAGAAAACCUGGCCGAGAAUACAAAGGCUCAUAUGACAAUACAAUUAGUAAAAUUGCUGAAAUAGAUAGAAUACAAUCAACUCAAGAAAGCGAAGAUGGCAGUCAUUCAGUUGACGAUUUUGCGUCAGUCAUGAGACCUGAACAUCCAGGUCGCGUGAGAUUGUAUAGACGAGGGGUUAAUAAGACUGUCUUAAAAGGAAAAAUAGGAAAUCUUGGAUCAUUUUCAGACGCUAGUGAUGAGAGGAUGCAGCAGAAAAUGGAGGAAAUGGAAGAGAGGAUGCAACAAAGAAUGCAGGAAAAGUUGAACGAACAAAAGGAUGCUAUGGAACAAGAAAUUAUAAUGAACGUCGUCGCACGAAUUCAGCGUCUGAACCCAGAAUUGCGACUUGAUCCUGACAUGCUAAGGUUCAGUGCUCGUUCACCUGUGGAAGCUUCCUCUGCACAACAAACUGCUGUUCAACUAACCAAUCGACCAUCUACUGGUAGUAACAAUCAAGGUGGAGUAGAUUAAGAAAUGGAAGAUGAAGGCAGUGAAGAACUAGACCUUACUUGAGAUGAAUUUUGAAUUGCUAUAGAUGAAUGUUCUAGGAAUCUUUUGUUAUCAACAUUUUGAAACUUACUCUCUUGAAAUAUAUUAAACUUAUGCACUUAGGGUAGAACAUCUGCUUUAUGGAUAUUAUUAGCUUGAUGGAUAAUUUAUAUUAUUAAUAGUUUUAUUUUA